UAGGGAAUAUUGGGCAAUGGCCGAGAGGCUGACCCAGCCACGCCGCGUGCAGGAAGAAGGCCUUCUGGGUUGUAAACUGCUUUUAUCAGGGAAGAAAACGCUCCUGCGGGGGUAACUGACGGUACCUGAUGAAUAAGCACCGGCUAACUCCGUGCCAGCAGCCGCGGUAAUACGGAGGGUGCAAGCGUUGUCCGGAUUUAUUGGGUUUAAAGGGUGCGUAGGCGGCCCGUUAAGUCAGCGGUGAAAUCCCACGGCUCAACCGUGGAACUGCCGUUGAUACUGGCGGGCUUGAGUUCGGUCGAGGCGGGCGGAACUGGUGGUGUAGCGGUGAAAUGCUUAGAUACCACCAAGAACCCCGAUUGCGUAGGCAGCUCGCUGGGCCGAAACUGACGCUGAGGCACGAAAGCGUGGGGAGCGAACAGG
Molecule: ribosomal RNA, 423 nt
Filed under: Bacillota bacterium
Lineage: Bacteria; Bacillati; Bacillota
Description: Firmicutes bacterium partial 16S ribosomal RNA
Rfam family: Bacterial small subunit ribosomal RNA
Source: RNAcentral